This 465-nucleotide ribosomal RNA is filed under the name uncultured bacterium. RNAcentral's name for it is "partial 16S ribosomal RNA". It matches the Rfam family "Bacterial small subunit ribosomal RNA", at positions 339 to 795 of the family's 1533-position model. The record is from RNAcentral.
CUACGGGACGCUGCAGUGAGGAAUAUUGCGCAAUGGGGGAAACCCUGACGCAGCGACGCCGCGUGGAUGAUGAAGGCCUUCGGGUCGUAAAAUCCUGUCAGAAGGAAAGAAGUAUAUGGUAGCUAAUAUCUGCCAUAUUUGACGGUACCAUCAAAGGAAGCACCGGCUAACUCCGUGCCAGCAGCCGCGGUAAUACGGAGGGUGCAAGCGUUGUUCGGAAUUACUGGGCGUAAAGCGCGCGUAGGCGGCUGUUUAAGUCAGAUGUGAAAGCCCAUGGCUUAACCAUGGACGUGCAUUUGAUACUGGGCAGCUUGAGUACUGGAGGGGGUGGUGGAAUUCCCGGUGUAGAGGUGAAAUUCGUAGAUAUCGGGAGGAAUACCGGUGGCGAAGGCGACCACCUGGCCAGAUACUGACGCUGAGGUGCGAAAGCGUGGGGAGCAAACAGGAUUAGGUACCCUAGUAGUC